This 78-nucleotide transfer RNA is filed under the name Colletotrichum cereale. Its description in RNAcentral is "tRNA-Val". It matches the Rfam family "tRNA". Rfam says of the family: Transfer RNA (tRNA) molecules are approximately 80 nucleotides in length. Their secondary structure includes four short double-helical elements and three loops (D, anti-codon, and T loops). Further hydrogen bonds mediate the characteristic L-shaped molecular structure. tRNAs have two regions of fundamental functional importance: the anti-codon, which is responsible for specific mRNA codon recognition, and the 3' end, to which the tRNAs corresponding amino acid is attached (by aminoacyl-tRNA synthetases). tRNAs cope with the degeneracy of the genetic code in two manners: having more than one tRNA (with a specific anti-codon) for a particular amino acid; and 'wobble' base-pairing, i.e. permitting non-standard base-pairing at the 3rd anti-codon position. Lineage: Eukaryota; Fungi; Ascomycota; Sordariomycetes; Glomerellales; Glomerellaceae. The record is from RNAcentral.
GGUCGAUUGGCCCAGUGGUUAAGGCAUUUGCUUUACAAAAUACGCAAAGGAUCGCAGGUUCGAUCCCUGCAUCGAUCA